This is an RNA transcript of Lotus japonicus, 2739 nucleotides long. RefSeq lists it as uncharacterized. The record is from RefSeq and is a predicted model, not a curated record. The transcript is spliced from 3 exons. NCBI's taxonomy places the organism in Eukaryota, Viridiplantae, Streptophyta, Magnoliopsida, Fabales, Fabaceae.
GUGACCCAACACUAAUACAUUGAUACCUACUUCCUCUUGGUCAUGUCGCGUGUAUUUCAUCCAACACAGCUCAGCUUUUCCCAUCCAUUGCUCUUGCGUUCGUCGGUUGCCGUCAUCUUCCUCUUGGUUGCGUUCCCCAUCUGCUCCCGUCAAAUCGCCUCUGCUACCUCCGAUUGCAUCAUCGCCGACGCUCACCUUCCCUUCCGUGUUCAAGGAGGUUUAGCUCGCUGGAACUGGUGGAACCAGCCAUAUUUCGACAGCUCCCUUCAUUCACUGUUGUUUGUCCAUUUUUUUCUCAAGUCCAGAUUUGAGUGCAUUCCCAAGGAGAAAAUCGCGGAUGAGCAAUGCUUGAGUCAGGGAUGCUUGUGUGUGUUGCAAUGACUAAUGUUUCUAGGAAGAUUUUGAAUAAAGGCAGCAACUUCUUUGAUUCUACAGGGCUAGGUAAAUACUAUUCUUGUCAUAUAUUUGAUUACUUCCUCAUUUCAUUGUCACAACUUUUAACUUUUUCUUAUUACAACUUAUAAAAAUUAAACAGAGAUGGACUUUGAAGGAGAAACCAACCCUCAAUCCUUCAUAUACAGUUGCUAUUGCACACUACUUCCAAUCAUUUUUAAAAGUAUGCACAAGGUUGGUGUUUGUUUCAUUCAAAAAUUGAUGAAAGAGGACUUUUAUGCCAUGAGGAGGAAGAUACUAGAAGCUCUGUGCAAGAAACAUGGCAUCCCUGCUAAUUUGAAGAACAAAUAAAUGGUGGACAAGCUUUCCUUGACUUUUAAGCUCUUUAUUAGUAUCCCCUUUUCUUCAAGUUAAGUUUCUUUACCCUUUUCUUUUGUCUGUUUUGAUCAUUUAUGAUGAUCUAUGUUAUGUUGAUCUGAUAGUUUAUUGAUUUGGUUGUUGAGCUUUUUUUGUGGCCCAUUUGUUUUCUUUAUAAAUUUUCUUCUUCCUUGCUGUUUCUAAUUCUGUUUUUUAUUGGGUUGGAAGAUGUUAGCUUGAAAUUUACCUCAAACUUAUUAGCCUAUUAUUAUUAUUUAAUUAUUUCACAACAUGAGUGUGUGCUAUAAUUUAAAUAUAGUAGUGAAAUUAAUUAAAUUAGCGAAGAACCAAAGCCCUUUGAUGAUGUGUAGGGUACUAUACUUGAAGCCUAUAGUUGGAGCGGAACACUAAAAUCUUCAAGGACAGAUCCUUGUGAUGGUAUCUUUUAUGGUGUAAUGGUUUUCUUAUCUUUGUAAGUGAAUAAUUUGGUAUAUUUUUACCCGGCUAUGUUAGGGUCAAAGGAGGACAAAUCAGAAGCUUGAACGUGUAUGGGAUAACAAAAUGUUAUGAAGGUUAAAUCUUUAAGAGACAUUGCCACGAAGAAAUAGAAUAGGAGUUGAAUCUUUGUGCAAUAUGUAUAUAAGGAUGAAACCCUUUGGAAUGAUAUAAGUAUGAUAAUAUUUCAAUUUCAUUUUGUGUCUGAUAAACUAAAUUGAGAAAUUAGCUAAAGGAGACUUAGGAGGUUCGUACCUGUUCAUGUGAGAGCAAGCAGUCAUGGUUACAUAUUUAUCUCAAAUUUAUUUUUUACAUUCAAGCUGGUAAACCAACCCAUUGAUUCUCAUUUUUGCCAUCCAUUCGAGUGACUUGCUUUUCUGGAUCACAUGUGUCUCAUAAACUUUUGCCUUAUCACAAUUCUCACCAUCUAUGUUCAAUGGAUUACCUUUAGUCUUUUCUUUGUACUUGUGUGUCGUUCUCGCGGUUGAGUUUUACGGGAGGUAUUGUCAGCGUGUUAAAAAUCUUAGUCUAUAUUAAUAUCUAUGAGGCAAUGAGAGACUCAUAUAACAUGAAAAAUCAAACACUUACUUUAUGGAAUCUCUUUCUUCAAGUUCCUCCUUAACUUGAAUUUUUAGAGUUUCCACCUAGAAUCCACUUCUUCAUCCUAGCACAAAGGUUAACGGUUUACUUAUUUUAGGUAGGCUACACCUAUCACAUGGUUAUUACUUUGAUUUAAUAACAUGCGUUGUAUAUAAAUUAAAAAUUUCAGGUUGUCUCAUUGACAUACCUUUCUUCUUUGAUUCAAGGAAUUACCGAAAUGGUAAGUUUGCCAAGCUUGGUGGAUUUGGAAUAUGUUCAAUUGUUCAGUUAUCCAAAAUUUAUGAUUUCUUAGUUUAAGUCCAUUGGUGAAUUGGUUAGAUUGGAGACAUUUGAAUUUUUUUCUUUAAAAAACUUGGUAAUGGGGCAAGAAGGUUUUCCAAGUAUAUUUUUGGUUAAAGAUAUUUAAUCAUUUAUGUCUUUAACUGAUUGAUCUAAUUUUUGCAACUUCCCUGACAUACCUCUCCUUUGCUUUAUCAGUUUUUUUUUUAGAAAGUGGUGGAUUUGAUUAUUUAAAAUUCCUUUAGUUCUUUAAAUUGUUUGUAUGUUAAUUUUUUUUUUCUUACUUUUUGGUAUGUUAAUUUUUCUUUUCAAUAUGAAUUUAUGUUUGUGCUUGGUGUUCUUUUAAUGUAGUUUUUCUCGAGUAGAUUAAAGGAUGCAUGGUCAACAGAGAAUACUCUGGAAUCAAGAGAUUUAUCUGCAAACAGUAUUGGUCAUGUUUAUUAUGCUCUAUGGUUAAUUUGGAAGUAGUAUCAAAGCUUCUGUAGCAGCAAAUUAUUGCUUUUAUGCAGCUGCUUAUCAUACCAGAAGAGGGGAAGCAGAUGUUAUGGUGGUUGGUGGGGCUGAAGCUUCAAUCAUUCCUACCAGUGUUGGAGGCUUUAUUGCCUGCAGGGCUUU